Hipposideros armiger (great roundleaf bat) is the source of this 6270-nucleotide long non-coding RNA. RefSeq lists it as uncharacterized. The record is from RefSeq and is a predicted model, not a curated record. The transcript is spliced from 2 exons. NCBI's taxonomy places the organism in Eukaryota, Metazoa, Chordata, Mammalia, Chiroptera, Hipposideridae.
AUAUAUAUAUAUUAAUAUGAGCCAGAAUUCUUUUGACAAUUUAAGGCUUUUCCAUAGAGCUUAUUUAUACCAGGUGGUUUUUUUUUGUUUUUUUUUCAUUUUCAAUGUGUCAGCACUGUAGUGUAAAUAGCUUUAAAAAAUUUUUAGUGUGAUUUAUACUGAAAUGUGAGCCACUUAAUAAAGGUUCAUAAUAAUAAAUGUUUUUUGUUGGGUCUGCAAAAAAGACAAACUGACAAUUCAGUUAAAUCAUUUAUUUGAUCUAUUUUGUGUCUGCUGGUAUAUCCAUUUAGAGUGGUAAAGGAGUGCAAAUGUACAUAUCCAAAUCAGUGAAUAUUUAAUUCCCCACAUUGUGCAAGCAUUUUUAAAACCAAGAUUCAGUUUUAAAAGCAUAUUUAUAUAUCUGUGUAUGUAUGGGAAUAUAUAUGUAUAUCAUAUUUUAUAUAACUUCUUAAAUUGCUGAAUGAGAUGAAUAUGUGAAACUUCCUAGCCCUCCUCCCUGGAAUACAUUUAAAAAUAUUUAUAUUCAACAUUAAGAAAGCAGUUUAAGUAAUAGAAAUCAUUUUGUAAAGUUGGGAGAAACAAGGUCGGUUAACCCUCUAAUUAAUGAAGUUUUGUGUCCAGAUUACAUAGCCCUAACACAAAUUUUCUUUGUAGUGUAUGGAAUAAAAAGUUGAAAAAAUUUUCUAAUAGGCACCUAUCUGUACUUAAUAAUAGCUGAGUAAAAAUCUUUAGUUACAGAAAGUUUAAUUGUGAGCAGUUAAAAUCCUUUUACAUUUUUCUUGCAGAACAAGAGGAAAAUAUGGCAAAUGUAAAAUCCUAAAAUAAGGGAGACUCAGCUGCCAUAUACAGAGAUAUAUCUAACAAAAUAAGAUGUGUUACCUUAUCUUUCUAAGGAUCCCUCUCUCCCUUAGCAAGGCAUUGUAAAUCAUAUCUAAUGGGACAGCAGAGGAAGGAGAAGAAAACAUCGUGAAUUUCAGCUUGUCUUCCCAGGACAUCAUACCCAAUUAGGGAAUGUGAAUGAGCUGUGAACAAAAUGUGGGCAAAUAGAAUUCAUGUUAACUAGAAAUUCAAGGUAAAAUUUACUAGUUGUAUGUUUUAUUACUAUUAUAAUAGUGCCUUCCAAGAACUGCGCUAUUAUGAAACAUUGUACACAUUCUGAAAUUUAGAAUUUAUGCGUCCAUGUUUUUAAAAUGUUAAGUCUACACUUUUCUACAAAGCUCAUUGCUGUUGUACUACUCAAGACUACUAAGUGUGCAGACUCCGAGUCAAGUCAAUGUAGUUGCAAAUAUUUUGAGUAAUACAGGGUUCAUAAUUUUAUUUAGACAGACAGUUUGAUCCCCGCUCAAAUUUCUUUCCUUGAAAUGUUUUUAACUGAGCCAGAUUUUUAUGUGAAAAAUCUCAGGUCUGUAUUUAAAAAAAACAAACCCUUCUCUCAAGUGUGGCUUUUGUUUGUGCUCUUGUUCCAUCUCUCUUCCUGAUUGACAGAGUUCUUAGAAACCUCUGUCUGCCUUCACUUCCUCAUUUCACUAGUUUAAUUUAAUCCUCAAAUUUAAUCCCUCAGCUGAAAUGGUUCUCUCAAAGGUCACCAUUUGAGUGCCAAAUCCAGGGGCUGCAUUUCUUAACUGUUUAACCCUUGCAGCACUUGUUAUCAGUCAUUUACUUCUUAAUACUCUAUAUGACCUGUUCUUUUUUGUUGUUUUUCCUUUUUUUUUGGAUGGCUUUUGCCUGUCCACGACUAUUUAAAGCAGUCUCCAUGGUUCUUUCCUUUUAGGUCUCCACACUCAGUCCAAAAAGUGUUUUCAUAACCCCAUGACUUUAGUCAGCCUUGGUUUCUCACUUAAGCUCUAAUGAUCCUUGUAAUCAAAUCUAGUCUCUCUUGCCCCCAAGCAUUAGCUGUUCUUUUUUCUCCUAAUUUGGUUAUUGGCAUCACUAUCUCUACAUAGUCAUCCUAUAGUAAUCUGAUUUAUCAUUUUCCCCUGUGGACAAUGUAUCAUAAGAUUUUGUUGAGUUGCCCCCAGAAAUGUUUAUAAUUUGUCUAUUGUUAUCAGUAGAUGUUCAGUCAUUGUAGAUGUUCAUCUUACUUGGACUUUUAAGAAAGGCUAAUACGUUUUAGGCUGCCUGCAGUUCUUUGCCCUUACCCCCAUUCCAAUCCAUUAAAAAAAAAUAGUUGACAUAUAUUUGUUUCAGGUGUACAACAGUGACUCAACAUUUACAUACCUUACAAACUGAUUACCACAGUAACCAUCUGUCACCUCAAUCCAUUCUUGAUGUUACCACUAGAUUAACCUUCCUCAAAUAGAUACGAUUGUUACUCUUCUGCUUAGAAAUACUCAGUGGCUCCUUUCCUGCAGAAAAGGCCUAAUGGCUCAGCAUAGCACUGAAGAGCCUUCAUGAUCCGGCCCUUCCUUUCCAGCUUUGUCUACCACAAUCUCUCCAUUUUUUUUUUUUUUUUAACUGAGCCAUCCUUCCACCUGUUGGCAGCUCAGCGGCAACUCAGCUCAGGCCAGGAAUCGAACAGUCUCUCCAUUUGAUGGGCCCAAUUUUUGGCUUUACCAGAUGACAGUACUUACCAUUCUGUUUGUGCACUUUUAAAAUUCAUUGCCUUUGCUGGGGAAAUCUCUGCCAGGAAUACAGCAUAGAGAAAUCUCAUUUUAAAACUCCAGUUAAACAUCAUCUCUUCUGUGUAUCUUUUACCGAUACUCCCAACUGUCCCCUCACCCCACAACGGGUGUAGAGCCAAUUCUUCCCUCUGCAUCUGGCAUCCCUUUGUUCACAUCAUUUACCAAACGUAUUAGUUAAGGACAUGUUGGGUUCUAGCUAAACCAUGAGCUAGACAUUGCAAAUUUUCUUCAGACCUUUGUAUCCCCCAAACUUAAUAUAUAGUACACUUGUUCCAUAAAUACUUGAAGGAACAAAAGUUGAACCUUAACUUCACAGGGGGUAGGAAAAUUAUGUAGGUUUCUGUAGUUUAAAAAAUUGGAUCAGUAGGCCCUAUAAAGAAGCCUAAUUUCUAUUUUGUACUUACUCCAGCCUUAUGGAUACAGUUUAAGAAGAUAACCUAUUCGAUAUCUAAGCCCAUUGGACAAUGUGUAGAUAGUAUUGUAAAAAUAAACCUGUAAAACUUACCCAACUUUUUAUCCCUUCCACUAGAGAUACACUGAAAAUUACAAAUUAAGGAUAAAAUUUAUACCUAAAGUGAUUAAAAUGGCAAAUAAAUAAGAAGCACCUUAAUAUCUCAUAAUCUGAAGCAGAAUUUAUUCCUAAAUCUAUAUGGCAAGAUAAAGUGGUUAUCUGGUUAACAGAUAGGUAUUGAUUAAGCUUAUAUGGUUCUCCCUAUUGAUAUAAACAACACAAAUUGAAAAUAUUGAAGAUGAUGAUAACAUGCAGUGGUUGUUUUAGUCUAUAGUAUCUAUUCUGUUGCAGGAAUGGGACAAGGACUUAUUAAAGGUGGCACUUUUUCAGACAUCCUCCUGUAAAGCCCCUUCACUGGGGUGUUAUGCUGAGGGCAUUUGUAGCAGUAUAGCUGUGGGUCAUUAAAGGGGAACAAUACAUAAUGCUGAGAAAAUACUUACCUUAGUCUGUAUUUCUCAUAUGUAAAGUGGGGUGUAACACCUAUUCUGUUAAUUGGUGGUGAAAAUGAAAUGAUAGAACAUGCCAAAUGUUUACUUAGCACAUUGCUUGGCAUAUCAUAGACACUACAAAUGUCAGCUUCUAAUCCAGGAAUUAACAGUAAAAACAAUAGAGAGCUAUGUGCUGGGUCACCCUAUUCCUUUCACCUCUUCCACACUGUCUUCUAUAUAUUCCUCUCUCUAAUUUUGGGCAGAGGAUAGGCAUCAGGGAAGAGGAAAAAGUUUCAUCAAGGGUCAAGGUGAGGUAUGGUGGAGGUAGGUGGACAUCAGGGACGAACUUCCUAGUUCACUAUUGCAGGGCUAGCAAUUCAAAAUCAUGUCACAGACUGCCUUUUCUUGAUAUAAACAAAUUAUAAAUUUAUAUUGUAUAGAUGAAAGUGGAAUUAAUUUUACUUUGUGGUAUAAGAUUCCAAUAUGAUUUAGCUAAACUUGAAUACAGGGCAAGCAAAAUGAGAAUAAAACAUUUAAUAUGUAAGGUAGAUCCCUCUCAUAAAAGAUUUUAAUCAAGUGUUUAGCAUUUGAUAACUGGUAUCUUCUGUAGAUGCUUUCUAUUUUUGUUUUUCUUCAGUAGGAAAUCUGUUGGUGGAAAUAGCAUUUGAAGUUAAACUUCUCCGUUUAUCGAUGACCAUGGGUUAAUUUCAUUUAUCUAGUCUUUAGUUUCUUCAUCAUUAUAAUUAGUUUUUUUUUCCUUGGCUCUAACAUUCUAUAAUCCCUGUGUACCUUCACUGUCUAUGCCAUGAAUUAAUUAUAAGAACACCAAUAAUACUUUGAGAAAGAGUGAUGUUUACUGUGCAAACAACCAAUCAAGAUUAAAGGAAACUCCUUUGGUAAUUUGUGUCUUGUUUUGUAAUACUAAAAGGACUCUGAUAAUUUUCCUAAGAGAAAUAACUUUAUUUUGAUGACACAGGUACAUGGUAAUAUGCUUGCCCCUACAUGAAAAAUGGUUCUAUGGUUUCCUCUCCUUUUUUGGCCACCACUUCUGUUCAUUAGUCAACAUCAGUUCCUCUACUUAUUUGCCGCACGGUGAAAAAGCAAAGUGGAAAGCAGGUGACCAUAUUUGUAAGGUUAAUAACUUAAAAUUAAGCUUUAGUUAAUCUGGUUACUAAAUAUCUAUUUAGCUAUUUACUAUUUUCUACUUUUCAUAUUUUCAAGCGUUAGAAAAAGUUACUUUGUUCACACGUUGCUUUUAUUCAGAAUUUUUGCCCAACAGAUUAAGUUACUUCUUGUCCAUGCUGACCUGAAAAAUAAUGGCUUCACUAGGAAACUUUCAUUUUUCAAGUUUCUUUCUUAAGGCAGAGUGUUAGUUCUUUUCACAGUUAGUAAAAAUCUCUGUAUUAUAAAAGAAGUAUCCUAUAACUAAAAACAAACCUAGGAAGGUAUUUUUCUACAAUACUGUUUAUGUAUUAUUCCACUAGUUUUGCUGUUUAUAUCUGUGAGCAUGAUUUCUAUCUUUUAAGUCUUUCAUUACUUAAUGUUUUAAAUGUAUCCCAAUUACUGAGGCUGUGAAAUUGUUAUUUAUAAUAAGAAAUAUAUCUGGUCUUCAUCCCCAUUCCUGGCGCAGGAAUUUAACACCCUUGGAAUUUCCUAAGUGAUAAAUUUGAUAAAGGUGUCUUUUGAACUUAUGUUAAAGAGGUGACUUGGAAAGCUCCUAGGUAACCUAAGGAUGGGAGCUGGUUGCUAGGGGAACCAACCCUGUGAUUAAAGGAUUGUUAAACUUUUCAAUACCCUCCUUCACCUCCUAAGGUAGAGGGGCUAGAGACUGAGUUCAUUCACCAAUGGCCAGUGAUUUUACAAAUGACUGUAGUCAAGUCUCCAUAAAAUCCCUAAAGGACAGGGUUCGGAGAGCUUCCAAGGUGGUGAACACAAGAUGGGAGACGAGUGGUCAUCCAGAGCACGGACGCUCCAUGCCCCUUCCCCAUACCUUGCCCUGUGCAUCUCUUCCAUGUGGCUGUUCCCCUUAUGUCCUUUUAUAAUAAACUGAUAAUCUAGUAAAAUGUUUCUCUGAGUUCUGUGAGAUGCUCUAGCAAAUUAACUUGAGGAGGGGGUCAUGAGAACCUCCAGAUCUAUAGCCAGAGUACAGGUGACAACCUGGAUGUGCCAUUAGCAUCCUAAGUUGGGGUGGGAAUUAGACUUCUGGGACUGAACCCUUAACCUGUGCUUGUGAUGCUACCUCCUGGUAUAUAUAGUCAGAACUGAGUUAAUUUCUUGGUGGUGUGGGGAAAAACACACAUCUGAAUUGGUGUCACACAGAGGCACACAUCAAUAAUUUAGUACAGCUUCAAGUUGUUUAUUUAGUGUGGCAUAUACCAAAUUGAGUAAGAAAAGAGCUCUCCUUUCUGGGAACCUUUCAGAUACUAUUACAAGUGAUUGAGCCUCACAUGUAAACAGGUUGGUUAUUCUGUUGCCUUUUACGUACAAUUCUUACCCAAUUUUCCUUUUAGCAAUCUCAGAAUUUCUGCAUUUGCUUGUUUUAGGACCUAGCUCAGGGGUCAGCAAACUACUGCCCACCACCCUUAUCUUUUUUUUUUUUGGUAGGGACUGUAAGGUAAGAAUGAGUUUUAAAUGGUUGAAACAAAAAUCAAAAGAAUGUUGUGUCAUAUGAAAUUUAUGUCAUUGUCCAUAAAGUUUUAUUGGAACAUAA